This 379-nucleotide ribosomal RNA is filed under the name uncultured Lactobacillus sp. RNAcentral's name for it is "bacterial SSU rRNA". It matches the Rfam family "Bacterial small subunit ribosomal RNA", at positions 355 to 726 of the family's 1533-position model. The record is from RNAcentral. Lineage: Bacteria; Bacillati; Bacillota; Bacilli; Lactobacillales; Lactobacillaceae.
UAGGGGAUCUUCCACAAUGGGCGCAAGCCUGAUGGAGCAACACCGCGUGAGUGAAGAAGGGUUUCGGCUCGUAAAGCUCUGUUGUUGGAGAAGAACGUGCGUGAGAGUAACUGUUCACGCAGUGACGGUAUCCAACCAGAAAGUCACGGCUAACUACGUGCCAGCAGCCGCGGUAAUACGUAGGUGGCAAGCGUUAUCCGGAUUUAUUGGGCGUAAAGCGAGCGCAGGCGGUUGCUUAGGUCUGAUGUGAAAGCCUUCGGCUUAACCGAAGAAAUGCAUCGGAAACCGGGCGACUUGAGUGCAGAAGAGGACAGUGGAACUCCAUGUGUAGCGGUGGAAUGCGUAGAUAUAUGGAAGAACACCAGUGGCGAAGGCGGCC